CAGUCGCCGCGGGAAUACAGAGGAUCCGAGCGUUAUCCGGAAUUAUUGGGUUUAAAGGGUGCGUAGGCGGAUAGAUAAGUCAGUGGUGAAAGACGGUGGCUCAACCAUCGCAGUGCCGUUGAUACUGUUUAUCUUGAAUAUGGAUGAGGUAGGCGGAAUGUGGCAAGUAGCGGUGAAAUGCAUAGAUAUGCCACAGAACACCGAUUGCGAAGGCAGCUUACCAAGGCAAAAUUGACGCUGAGGCACGAAAGCGUGGGGAUCGAACAGGAUUAGAUACCCGCGUAGUCCCUGUCUCUUAUAC
Molecule: ribosomal RNA, 301 nt
Filed under: uncultured bacterium
Lineage: Bacteria
Description: partial 16S ribosomal RNA
Rfam family: Bacterial small subunit ribosomal RNA
Source: RNAcentral